GGCUCGUUGGUCUAGGGGUAUGAUUCUUGCUUGGGGUGCAGGAGGUCCCGGGUUCAAAUCCCGGACGAGCCC
This 72-nucleotide transfer RNA is filed under the name Schistocerca americana (American grasshopper). Its description in RNAcentral is "tRNA-Pro". It matches the Rfam family "tRNA". From Rfam's summary of the family: Transfer RNA (tRNA) molecules are approximately 80 nucleotides in length. Their secondary structure includes four short double-helical elements and three loops (D, anti-codon, and T loops). The record is from RNAcentral. Lineage: Eukaryota; Metazoa; Arthropoda; Insecta; Orthoptera; Acrididae.